CCGAAUCCUUUCUAAACUCGGGUCAGUGAUUACUGAUGUAUAACAAAAUUAAAUUUCGAAUAUAUAAAAAUAUAUAAAAUCUUUAAGAAUAUCCUACCUUUUAAAUCUUAACUCUAUAAUUUAAUAAAAAAUAAUUACCUAAUAUAAAGUCUGCGAUAAAAAUCAUACAAAUUUGUAAGAGCCCAAAUUUGUCCAGCCCGAAUAAAAAACCAAAAAUAAAAAAUAAAAAAAUAAAUAAUCAAAUAAAAAGUUCAAGUCCAAUUACAAUAAUGACCCAAAUACAAAAAAAAAACCCCAAGGCCUAAAAUAUAUAACCUAACACAAAACCCUAAAGCCCAAUAACCCAGGCCCAAACUACCAACCCAAUCCCACAACCUAAACUUUUCAGAAAACUAAAAAACCCUAGCCCUUUGAGCCGCCGCUCCUUGUCACGUCAGUAGGCACUUUGCCUAAAGAC
This 457-nucleotide long non-coding RNA is filed under the name Gossypium raimondii (Peruvian cotton). RNAcentral describes it as "long non-coding RNA (GRAI_LNC004801)". Lineage: Eukaryota; Viridiplantae; Streptophyta; Magnoliopsida; Malvales; Malvaceae. The record is from RNAcentral.